AUGAAGUCCUAAGGGACGAAAUGCGUUGGAAUUCAACGAUUGUGCGUUUCCUUAAAUUGGUGAACAGAUCAUACAUGCUGUCUCAUGAUGAGGAAUGACUUGUGUUGGCCUCUCGUUGUACAAUAUUUUCCUGUAUACUGUUUCCACAUGAAGGGCUAAUACUGCUCCGACUAUGACAUCUCCAUUCCAAAACAUGUCCACCAGUUCCGGGGAAUGUAAAGUGCAGCUUAGUCCCAUGGAAUGUGAUGCUGGCGCAAGAUAAUACUGAAUAAGGAGCCACAGUGUCCUGUAGGAAAACAUCUCCAACCUGGAACCACACAGAAAAGUUGCAGGAGCUUAAUUUAUUGUUAAAGUCUUUUCUUCUUAUUUUGAGUUAAUUUGCCUAAUGGUGAAAGUACAAAUUUAAACAUGUUAGCCUCUGUA
Pseudophryne corroboree (corroboree frog) is the source of this 423-nucleotide long non-coding RNA. RefSeq lists it as uncharacterized. The transcript has 2 exons. NCBI's taxonomy places the organism in Eukaryota, Metazoa, Chordata, Amphibia, Anura, Myobatrachidae. The record is from RefSeq and is a predicted model, not a curated record.